GGGCCGCACAAGCGGGCGGAGCAUGCGGAUUAAUUCGAUGCAACGCGAAGAACCUUACCAAGGCUUGACAUAUACGAGAACGCCGCAGAAAUGUGGAACUCUUUGGACACUCGUAUACAGGUGGUGCAUGGUUGUCGUCAGCUCGUGUCGUGAGAUGUUGGGUUAAGUCCCGCAACGAGCGCAACCCUCGUCGUAUGUUGCCAGCACGUAAUGGUGGGAACUCAUAUGAGACUGCCGGGGUCAACUCGGAGGAAGGUGGGGAUGACGUCAAAUCAUCAUGCCCCUUAUGUCUUGGGCUUCACGCAUGCUACAAUGGCCGGUACAAAGGGCUGCGAUGUCGUAAGGCGGAGCGAAUCCCAAAAAGCCGGUCUCAGUUCGGAUUGAGGUCUGCAACUCGACCUCAUGAAGUCGGAGUCGCUAGUAAUCGCAGAUCAGCAACGCUGCGGUGAAUACGUUCCCGGGCCUUGUACACACCGCCCGUCAAGUCAUGAAAGUCGGUAACACCCGAAGCCGGUGGCCUAACCCUUGUGGAGGGAGCCGUCGAAGGUGGGAUCGGUGAUUAGGAGUAAGUCGUAACAAGGUAGCCG
This 587-nucleotide ribosomal RNA is filed under the name Agromyces sp. SR1-4a. Its description in RNAcentral is "bacterial SSU rRNA". It matches the Rfam family "Bacterial small subunit ribosomal RNA", at positions 918 to 1502 of the family's 1533-position model. The record is from RNAcentral. Lineage: Bacteria; Bacillati; Actinomycetota; Actinomycetes; Micrococcales; Microbacteriaceae.